RNAcentral lists this ribosomal RNA (466 nucleotides) under uncultured bacterium. RNAcentral describes it as "partial 16S ribosomal RNA". It matches the Rfam family "Bacterial small subunit ribosomal RNA", at positions 28 to 507 of the family's 1533-position model. The record is from RNAcentral.
GAUGAACGCUGGCGGCGUGCUUAACACAUGCAAGUCGAACGGAAAGGCCCAAGCUUGCUUGGGUACUCGAGUGGCGAACGGGUGAGUAACACGUGGGUGAUCUGCCCUGCACUUCGGGAUAAGCCUGGGAAACUGGGUCUAAUACCGGAUAGGACCACAUUUUGGAUGGUGUGGUGGAAAGUUUUUCGGUGUGGGAUGAGCUCGCGGCCUAUCAGCUUGUUGGUGGGGUAAUGGCCUACCAAGGCGUCGACGGGUAGCCGGCCUGAGAGGGUGUACGGCCACAUUGGGACUGGGAUACGGCCCAGACUCCUACGGGAGGCAGCAGUGGGGAAUAUUGCACAAUGGGCGCAAGCCUGAUGCAGCGACGCCGCGUGGGGGAUGACGGCCUUCGGGUUGUAAACUCCUUUCGCUAGGGACGAAGCGUUAUGUGACGGUACCUGGAGAAGAAGCACCGGCUAACUACGUG